This 348-nucleotide unclassified non-coding RNA is filed under the name soil metagenome. RNAcentral's name for it is "partial contains 5.8S ribosomal RNA, internal transcribed spacer 2, and large subunit ribosomal RNA". The stretch from base 1 to 120 matches the Rfam family "5.8S ribosomal RNA", at positions 35 to 154 of the family's 154-position model. The record is from RNAcentral.
GAUGAAGAACGUAGCGAAAUGCGAUAAGUAGUGUGAAUUGCAGAAUUUAGUGAAUCAUCGAAUCUUUGAACGCACAUUGCGCCCGCCAGUAUUCUGGCGGGCAUGCCUGUCUGAGCGUCAUUUCAACCCUCAUGCCCCUAGGGCGUGGUGUUGGGGAUCGGCCAAAGCCCGCGAGGGACGGCCGGCCCCUAAAUCUAGUGGCGGACCCGUCGUGGCCUCCUCUGCGAAGUAGUGAUAUUCCGCAUCGGAGAGCGACGAGCCCCUGCCGUUAAACCCCCAACUUUCCAAGGUUGACCUCAGAUCAGGUAGGAAUACCCGCUGAACUUAAGCAUAUCAAUAAGCGGAGGA